This 253-nucleotide ribosomal RNA is filed under the name uncultured bacterium. Its description in RNAcentral is "partial 16S ribosomal RNA". It matches the Rfam family "Bacterial small subunit ribosomal RNA", at positions 524 to 776 of the family's 1533-position model. The record is from RNAcentral.
UACAGAGGGGGCAAGCGUUGUUCGGAAUUACUGGGCGUAAAGCGUGCGUAGACGGUUAUUUAAGUCGGAUGUGAAAGCCCCGGGCUCAACCUGGGAAUUGCAUUCGAGACUGAAUAGCUAGGGUACGGUAGAGGGAAGUGGAAUUUCCGGUGUAGCGGUGAAAUGCGUAGAUAUCGGAAGGAACAUCAGUGGCGAAAGCGACUUCCUGGACCAGUACCGACGUUCAGGCACGAAAGCGUGGGGAGCAAACAGG